Molecule: ribosomal RNA, 432 nt
Filed under: uncultured bacterium
Lineage: Bacteria
Description: partial 16S ribosomal RNA
Rfam family: Bacterial small subunit ribosomal RNA
Source: RNAcentral
AACGAACGCUGGCGGCAUGCCUAACACAUGCCAGUCGAACGAGACCUUCGGGUCUAGUGGCGCACGGGUGCGUAACGCGUGGGAACCUGCCCUUAGGUUCGGAAUAACUCCCCGAAAGGGUGCUAAUACCGGAUAAUGUCUUCGGACCAAAGAUUUAUCGCCUUUGGAUGGGCCCGCGUUGGAUUAGCUAGUUGGUAGGGUAAAAGCCUACCAAGGCGACGAUCCAUAGCUGGUCUGAGAGGAUGAUCAGCCACACUGGGACUGAGACACGGCCCAGACUCCUACGGGAGGCAGCAGUGGGGAAUAUUGGACAAUGGGCGAAAGCCUGAUCCAGCAAUGCCGCGUGAGUGAUGAAGGCCUUAGGGUUGUAAAGCUCUUUUACCCGGGAUGAUAAUGACAGUACCGGGAGAAUAAGCUCCGGCUAACUCCGUG